AUUGAACGCUGGCGGCAGGCCUUACACAUGCAAGUCGAACGGUAUCAGGCUGCUUGCUCCUGACGUGUGGGGAGGGGGGGAGUGUUGAGCCGGAAAGUGCGCAGACGUGUGGGAGACCAACUCGAGAGAGGGGCUAAAAUACCAUACGCACUAUGAGUGAAAGCGGGGGACAGGAACGCUUCGCGGGAUAGCAGGGGAGGAUGGCGGAUUAGGUAGUUGGUGGGGUGAAGGCGCACCACGCCAACGAGCUGUAGCAGGUCUGAGAGGAGGACCAGCCACACUAGGACUGAGGCACGGCCCAGACUCCUACGGGAGGCAGCAGUGGGGAAUUUUGGACAAUGGGCGCAAGCCUGAUCCAGCCAUGCCGCGUGCGUGAAGAAGGUCUUCGGAUUGUAAACUGCUUUAGUGCGGGACGAAACGCCUCUGGUUAAUACCUUGCUGUAAUGACGGUACCGUAAGAAUAAGCACCGGCUAACUUCGUG
RNAcentral lists this ribosomal RNA (482 nucleotides) under uncultured bacterium. RNAcentral's name for it is "partial 16S ribosomal RNA". It matches the Rfam family "Bacterial small subunit ribosomal RNA", at positions 29 to 507 of the family's 1533-position model. The record is from RNAcentral.